Molecule: ribosomal RNA, 408 nt
Filed under: uncultured bacterium
Lineage: Bacteria
Description: partial 16S ribosomal RNA
Rfam family: Bacterial small subunit ribosomal RNA
Source: RNAcentral
GACGAACGCUGGCGGCGUGCUUAACACAUGCAAGUCGAACGAAGUGGCGAACGGGUGAGUAAUACUUGAGUACCCUGCCCUCCUUUUUGGGAUAAGCCUUGGAAACGGGGUCUAAUACCGAAUACAGGGGGAUGGGCUCGCUGGCUAUCAGCGUGUUGGUGGGGUGAUGGCCUACCAAGGGGGUGACGGGUAGCCGGCCUGAGAGGGUGACUGGCCACAUUGGGACUGAGAGACGGCUCAGACUGCGACGUGAGGCAGCAGUGGGGGAUAUUGCACAAGGGGGGAAAGCCUGAUGCAGCUGCGCCGCGUUGAGGAUGAAGGCUUUCGGGUUGGAAAGCUCGUUGGCUAGCGAACUGGUAGGUGGAGAAGAAGCACCGGCUAACUACGUGCCAGCAGCCGCGGUAAUAC